Molecule: long non-coding RNA, 1212 nt
Filed under: Mus spicilegus (steppe mouse)
Lineage: Eukaryota; Metazoa; Chordata; Mammalia; Rodentia; Muridae
Description: lncRNA (ENSMSIG00000021847.1)
Source: RNAcentral
UCCUUUUGGUAAAUAGGGUGAGGCCACUCAAGAGUACAUAUACAGAGCAAGGCCUGGCCUUCAGCUCCCAUCUCUUUAUCCUGGGGUGGGGGGGACAACCUGAGCACAGCAGUCACCCUGAGGCAGCACCUCCAGAGGAUGCACUGGAGACCAAACUCUGGCCUUGAGGGAGACAGGUCCACUUGGAAUUAGGACGGGGUACCACGGGUGUAGGACCUUCUCCACUAAAGCUUCGCAGGAUGAGGAUCCUCCCUCCCUCCCUGCCUUCCACAGCCCUGUGUAGCAAGAGCGGCCUAGGGCUGCGGGGGAGAGAACCACUCCAAACCGGAAUGAUCUGGUUUAAGGCAAGCUGAUUCUCCCUCCGCUCUCCCCCGCCCUCCCUUCUCCUCCUGCGACAGGCUGCUUUUUGCCGCAGUCCCCUGACCAAGGUAAACAGGAGGGAGGAAAGAAAGCUCUGUUUCCAUGGCAACCUAGAGGGCGGUCGAUUUGGCUCUCUCGGAAGUGCUUGUAUGAAGGGGAAAAGAGACCUCACUGGAAAAGCAACAGGGAGGAAAGAUCCUAGCCGCGUUCCUGAUGGGGGUUAUUCUGGAAGGUGAUGUGGGCCUGGAGCAGGAGAGGUGAGGGGCCUGGCACCCUCAAGUGAGGUGGCAGAUGGAGCCCGGGACCUGGAUACCAGAAAUGCCACCAUCAACCUGGGAGCCUUGGCAGCUGUGACUGGCGUUCUGCAUGCCCCUCUGCUUCCUGAGGCUACUCACUUCCUUGCUUGCAUGUGGCCACAGUGGCAAGUUCCAACAGUUUCUUCAGUCAACGACCCCUCCCUCUCGACUUUGCAGUUUGAGUCACCUUCAAUUUCCUGCCUGCCUGCCCCUUCCCUGAUUGACCUGAUAAAUCCAGGACAGCUUUUAUUGCUUUUGGCAAAACAUUGCCAUUAAGAUUUACGGAGCCAAAAGCUGGUACAAUGUAAUCUUCAGAGUAAUUUACACAGUGAGUUUCAAAAGAUGAAAAGUUAGCGUUUCCGGGGUAAUUUCAUAAAAAGGAUUAUCAGAUUAAUCACUGUGUCGAUUUAAUCGUGGUUUCUAAAAUAAUUAAUUAGCCUGCUUGAAGUCAGCCAUGCAAAGAGGACCCCAGAAGGAAUACAAAUGGCCGUGUCAGAUGUAAGUAUGUUUGGGGCACUAGAUCUUGAGAGAAUUCCUGCUGAAAUUACCUCGGGAG